RNAcentral lists this non-coding RNA (76 nucleotides) under Butyrivibrio fibrisolvens. RNAcentral's name for it is "c-di-GMP-I riboswitch aptamer". It matches the Rfam family "c-di-GMP-I riboswitch aptamer". From Rfam's summary of the family: GEMM was predicted in a large-scale screen for bacterial structured RNA regulatory elements. Genes associated with GEMM are involved in a diverse array of functions, including chemotaxis regulation, signal transduction, secretion and chitin. The record is from Rfam by way of RNAcentral. Lineage: Bacteria; Bacillati; Bacillota; Clostridia; Lachnospirales; Lachnospiraceae.
GAUAAUCUUUAGCAAAAUAAGCGAAAGCUUAUGACGCAAAGCUAUAGGGCCUGUAAAAUGGCAGCCAGUUGCACUG